Molecule: RNase P RNA, 402 nt
Filed under: Prolixibacteraceae bacterium
Lineage: Bacteria; Pseudomonadati; Bacteroidota; Bacteroidia; Marinilabiliales; Prolixibacteraceae
Description: RNase P RNA component class A
Rfam family: Bacterial RNase P class A
About the family: Ribonuclease P (RNase P) is a ubiquitous endoribonuclease, found in archaea, bacteria and eukarya as well as chloroplasts and mitochondria. Its best characterised activity is the generation of mature 5'-ends of tRNAs by cleaving the 5'-leader elements of precursor-tRNAs.
Source: RNAcentral
ACCGCAGACCGCUCUAUCGCUGCCUGAGCAAUCGGGGAGAGGAAAGUCCGGGCAACACAGGGCACCAUGCUUCUUAACAGGAAGGCGGGUGAAAGCUUGCAGUAAGGUAACAGAAAAUGACCACCCGGUUUUGAUGCGUCUUAGCCGGGAACGGGUGAAAAGGUGAGGUAAAAGCUCACCGGUGGCGGUGGCAACAUCGUCAGCCGUACCUCUGAUGGGUUGCAAAGCCAAAUAUAUCACGAUUUUCCGGUACGCCGGAAUACAGAACGGCCCGUUUUGGUUCUUCGGAAGUCGUGAGGGGUAGGCUGCUCGAUCAGCUUUGUGAAAAGCUGGCUAGAUAAAUGAUAGAGGCUCUGAGCUUGUCGAAGAGUACAGAACCCGGCUUACAGGUUUGCGUUUUUU